CCUACGGGAGGCUGCAGUGGGGAAUAUUGGGCAAUGGACGCAAGCCUGACCCAGCAACGCCGCGUGAAGGAAGAAGGCUCUCGGGUUGUAAACUUCUUUUAUCAGGGACGAAGCAAGUGACGGUACCUGAUGAAUAAGCCACGGCUAACUACGUGCCAGCAGCCGCGGUAAUACGUAGGUGGCAAGCGUUAUCCGGAUUUACUGGGUGUAAAGGGCGUGUAGGCGGUAAAGCAAGUCAGAGGUGAAAACCAUGGGCUCAACCUGGGGCCUGCAUUUGAAACUGUUGUUCUUGAGUACUGGAGAGGCAGACGGAAUCCCAGGUGUAGCGGUGAAAUGCGUAGAUAUUAGGAGGAACACCAGUGGCGAAGGCGUUUUGUUGAAUAGCAAUUGACGCGGAGGAGCGAAAGCGUGGGGAGAAACCAGGAUUAGAUACCCUUGUAGC
Molecule: ribosomal RNA, 442 nt
Filed under: uncultured bacterium
Lineage: Bacteria
Description: partial 16S ribosomal RNA
Rfam family: Bacterial small subunit ribosomal RNA
Source: RNAcentral